This is a non-coding RNA of Rhodotorula graminis WP1, 102 nucleotides long. The record is from the annotation of a RefSeq genome assembly. Lineage: Eukaryota; Fungi; Basidiomycota; Microbotryomycetes; Sporidiobolales; Sporidiobolaceae.
GACCGCAUGGUCUAGUUUGGUCAUGACGCAUCCUUCACACCACGUGUCCUUCACACAGUAUGAGAACGGAUGAGGUCCUGGGUUCGAGCCCCAGUGCAGUCA